Molecule: non-coding RNA, 3813 nt
Organism: Oryza sativa Japonica Group (Japanese rice)
Lineage: Eukaryota; Viridiplantae; Streptophyta; Magnoliopsida; Poales; Poaceae
Source: RefSeq, a predicted model, not a curated record
UCUUACGUCCCUCACCCUAUGUUCCUGUGUUUUGUACUCUUUCGUAACAGCCCUCAAUGUCUUGGUAUAUACUAUGUGAAGGAGACAAAAUUCUAGAUAUAGGACCGCGCUCUGAAAAAAGGGAAAUAAGUGUGUUUUCUGCAAAAGAGAACAUCCCUAUCCUAUCCUCUCCAUUCCCCUGAAACCCUACACAUCACUGUUCUCCCGCCCUUUCUCUUCCUUUCCCCUGCCCUUGCACCGCCGCCGCCUUGCCUUACCUCCCCGGCUUCUCCUCGCCGACGACGGCUUUCCCCUCACGCUCUCCCGUACCCUCCUCCUCUCUUGGCGCUCCCUCCAUCACCCCCCUCCCAGUAGAGCAAGGGGAUUUAGGGACUGGAUGGCGCAGCGUUGGAUUUGGGUGCGGUGAUGGAGUUUCGCCGGCGACGGCCUCCCCCUCGCGCUCUUCCAUGUCCUGCCCAUCUCCUGCCGCACCCUCAAGCACUCUCCGCCCGUUUCUCCUCGCCACCCGUUGCAGCAGUUACCCUGUUUUGUGUUGGGCUCCACGGAGCUGCGACGACGGUAGCCUCGGCCAGGAAGCGACCCAUGGACCAAUGGUGGGAGCAUUUGGCAAGGACACACUCACUCAAGAACCAGACAUUGGCCUGCGAUGGGAAACAAGCUCGAGGAUGCCAGGUUCGGUCGCCAUUGAGAUGGCUACAGACUUGAUCCUUCCACUCUCACAGCCGUCAACAACAUCGGGGCGAUUCGUUUUGCUGCCUGGUGGGCUAUUGUUUACUGCUGUCUGCUUGCUGCUGAAUGAAGCAGCUAGCAAAUAUUGUUCCAAACUAAAAGUUGUAGUGGUUUGGUGUGAUGAGGAAGCCAGAAAAUUAAUGAUUUUCUGUACAAUUGGCACUGGACAUUCUUUCUGUAUCCAAUUGGCACUGGACAUUCUUUCUGUAUCCAGAUUCAUUGAAGCAUGUAAUAUUUCAUCUUUGUACCAUGCUUCUAUUUAAGAGGACAUGGCCACCGCUUUUUGGAGGGUGUUUGGGAGUGGGAUAGGGCGGCCCAGAGGAGAAUAUUUCCUCCAGAUGCUGGAUAGAGGGAUCCGGUUGAUUUGGCCGGAUGCAACCGCCCGAGGCUCGGGCGAGCCGGGCAAGCGAGUUGCGUAACUCGCGUCACCCCUCACCACCACGACGCGAGCGAGGCGACGAGCGCGGUGGCCGGCGAGAGGGGCGACGAGCUCGGCGGCCGGCGUGGGCGACGAGAGGGGGCGAUGAGCUCGGCGGCCGGCGAGAGAGGCGACGAGCGCGGCGGCCGCCGAGAGAGGCGACGAGCUCGGCGGCCGGUGCGGGCAACGAGCGCGGUGGCCGGCGAGAGAGGCGACGAGCUUGGCGGCUGGCGCGGGCGACGAGUGUGGCGGGCGGCGAGAGAGGUGACGAGCUCGGCAGCUGGCGCGGGUGACGAGAGAGGAAGGCGGCGGCGGGAGGAGGCGAGCCUCGGUGGUGGGAGGAGGCGGCCGGCGGCGGGAGGAAGCCGGCGGGAGGAGGCUGCUAGCGGCGUCGGCGAGCCCAGAUCUGGCACUGCUUUUUUUUCUUUUUUCUUUUUUCUUUUUCUUUUUUCUAUGUGUAUUUAUAAUGGAAUGUGUAUUUAUAAUGGAGUGUGUAUUUAUAAUGGAAUGUGUAUUAUGUAUUAAUUUGAUGGGGUAUAUUCACCAUCUCAAGUGAGAGGUGACCACACCUACAAAUCCACCAUACUUCCUCCAACCAAACAAAAAAUUGGAUCACCAAAUCCACCUUUGUCCCUACAACCAAACAAAAAACUGGACCGCCAUAUCCAGCAAAAUAUGGACCACCGUAUCCCAUCCAAUCUUGACCAGGAACCAAACACACCCUUAGUGUUCUAUACAAGCAUGUUGACUGUUUGAUAAAAAAAAUCACAAUACUGACUCUGGUUUUUGAAAGAAGUUAGUGUUCUAGACAAGUACAUCAGGGCUUCUGUCCUAGAUCCCCAUCCAUUUGUGCCUAUGAAUCAUGUUGCUUCUCAGAACAGAUGGUAAAUUCAAUAUGCAGAUUUAUUUACUACAGCAAAAAAAUAACACUCAAUAUGCAGAUUAGUUUUCUAUUAAGCAAGCAUGUAUAACUGGAUAUGUGCUUAGGACAGAGGUGAUAUUGGUAGGAAAAUUCCUAUCCAGAUUAGUUUCCUAUUAAGCAAGCAUGUAUAACUGGAUAUGUGCUUAGGACAGGGGUGAUAUAUUGGUAGGAAAAUUCCUAUCCAGAAUCUGGUAUGGCGCCACUGUAAACAGAAACUCCGUGUGUGUUUAUUUCUACUUAGUGAUCCUGGAUCCUGCUAAUAUUUAGACCUUGAGAUCCUGCUAAUAUUUGGACCUUGAAUUAUAUCAUUCCUCCACAUACACAGCCUGUUGUAACUGCAGCUCUUAUCUGUUCUCUCUGUUCUUACCUUGAAUUAUGCAGAUUUUUGCAUGGUCAAAUUAGAUAGCCAUUAAAAAAACUAUGGUAUGUUGCUUCUCAGAGCACAUGGUAGAUUCGAUAUGGAGAUUCAUUUUCCAGAAAAAAAAGAGGCAAUAGCAGAUUAGUUUUCUGUAACAAAAAAUAUCACAUCAUUUUCUGCUGGCGAUAGGAAUUUGCCCAGUAAUUCUGUGGCAUGCUGCCACCAAAAUUUAGCAUGUGUCUUUCGUGUUGCUACACAGAACAUAUUACCUAUGUGAUUAAUAAGAUGAAUAUAUCACGUUUGGUUUGUCGGUUUAAUUAGGUGGUGUUUAUAGUUCAUCCUGUGAUGCCUUGGAUCCUUUGUGUGGUUCACCGUGGGCAUGUGGUUGGGUGCGUGUGUGCCAUUGGUCCUAACGCUCUAUGGCCCACCUGGAAAUCACCUUGGUCCAUGCUGCGCCUGGCCUAUGUAGCUCCCUCCCUGCCUGACAGCCUUGACUUUUGGUGCACCCCCACGUUUACCCAGCAUAGCCUCGUGUUUCUCUAUGCGAUGUCACUAUGUGCGACAGUGCGAGGCAGGCACGUUUCUUCAUGAUUCUCCUACCAACGUCUGGUCCACCGUAAUCCCUGGUCACACGAGUGCUCCUCUCUACCUGUGUUUUGUGCGUUAGGAGCACGUUCAUCCAGUGCAACGAAAGGAUUGGGCAAAUUACCUACUGGUUAUUACCUUGGAUAAAUGAUGAACAUGCACCUAUUCGUUGCAGAGCCAAUGACAGGUGGGGUCGGUUUUGUGGGUUGUCCCAUAUACCAUGUGUUAUGUGUAUCCAAGAGGCUGUGAGUCUAUCGUGCCAUGUUUUUCUAAGCGCCGCGUGCUACAGUGUCUGACGUGCCGCGUCAGGCCACAUCAAAUCGUCCUGCGCACGAGCCGUACCGGCAUGCGCGCAGGCAUCGAUGCAUCCGGCAUGGCCCUAGCCUUUCCUAUCGUUCCUCUUACCCGGUUCGUUAGUAGAGAUUGAGGCCAUUCAAACAGCUGCAUUGCUUCGGUUGUCUUCUUGGCUCUUCUCUCAUCUUUCCCCUUUUCGCUCUUACAUCAAUGGCCAACACUAGGGGGGAUCGUGGAUGCUGCGCCGGCGCUGCUGCUUAGAAUUUGCCUCACGCCUCUAGGGUGGUCCCCCAGCCACGCUUCCACGCCGUCUUCCUCUCGAAUUUCGCAGGCGUGGCCCUCACCAAUCUACCCCAUAAUUUCCUGCCUAUUUAUCGAUGUUAGUUCCAAUGGUUGUAUUUGUGAUGUAUAAUGUACUCUAGAUUAUGCAUUCUUCUCCACAAACAAUGUUAACAUUCAGUCUAUGUAUUUUAUGUCUACUUAAUCCAUCACUGGUUUUCCUCACAA